UGCAAUCUACCUUUAACAGGUGAAUAGCCCGAAGAAAUUCGGAUUAAAACACCAUAGUAUAGUGAAUAGGCAUCUAUUUACUAUUAAAACUCCGGUGGUUAAAGAUGAGCAUGCGUGACAUUAGCUAGUUGGUGAGGUAACGGCUCACCAAGGCAACGAUGUCUAGGGGAUCUGAGAGGAUUAACC
RNAcentral lists this ribosomal RNA (186 nucleotides) under uncultured Bacteroidota bacterium. RNAcentral's name for it is "uncultured Bacteroidetes bacterium partial 16S ribosomal RNA". It matches the Rfam family "Bacterial small subunit ribosomal RNA", at positions 120 to 306 of the family's 1533-position model. Lineage: Bacteria; Pseudomonadati; Bacteroidota. The record is from RNAcentral.